RNAcentral lists this ribosomal RNA (440 nucleotides) under uncultured bacterium. Its description in RNAcentral is "partial 16S ribosomal RNA". It matches the Rfam family "Bacterial small subunit ribosomal RNA", at positions 338 to 795 of the family's 1533-position model. The record is from RNAcentral.
CCUACGGGGGGCAGCAGUAGGGAAUAUUGCUCAAUGGGGGAAACCCUGAAGCAGCAACGCCGCGUGUAGGAUGAAGGUUUUCGGAUUGUAAACUCCUUUUGGUAGAGAAGAUAAUGACGGUAUCUAACGAAUAAGCACCGGAUAACUCCGUGCCAGCAGCCGCGGUAAUACUGAGGGUGCAAGCGGUACUCGGAAUGACUGGGCGUAAAGAGCGAGUAGGCGGGAUAGCAAGUCAGAUGUGAAAUCCUAUGGCUUAACCAUAGAACUGCAUUUGAAACUGUUAUUCUAGAGUAUGGGAGAGGUAGGUAGAAUUCGUGGUGUAGCGGUAAAAUGCGUAGAGAUCAAGAGGAAUACUCAUUGCGAAGGCGACCUGCUAGAACAUAACUGACGCUGAUGCGCGAAAGCGUGGGGAGCAAACAGGAUUAGAUACCCGUGUAGUC